Molecule: ribosomal RNA, 402 nt
Filed under: uncultured bacterium
Lineage: Bacteria
Description: bacterial SSU rRNA
Rfam family: Bacterial small subunit ribosomal RNA
Source: RNAcentral
UGGGGAAUCUUGCACAAUGCGCGAAACCCUGAUGCAGCAACGCCGCGUGAGUGAUGAAGGUUUUCGGAUCGUAAAACUCUGUCUUUGGGGACGAUAAUGACGGUACCCAAGGAGGAAGCCACGGCUAACUACGUGCCAGCAGCCGCGGUAAUACGUAGGUGGCAAGCGUUGUCCGGAUUUACUGGGCGUAAAGGGAGCGUAGGUGGACUUUUAAGUGAGAUGUGAAAUACUCGGGCUCAACCCGAGAACUGCAUUUCAAACUGGAAGUCUAGAGUGCAGGAGAGGAAAGUGGAAUUCCUAGUGUAGCGGUGAAAUGCGUAGAUAUUAGGAAGAACACCAGUGGCGAAGGCGACUUUCUGGACUGUAACUGACACUGAGGCUCGAAAGCGUGGGGAGCAAACA